This 482-nucleotide ribosomal RNA is filed under the name uncultured bacterium. RNAcentral's name for it is "partial 16S ribosomal RNA". It matches the Rfam family "Bacterial small subunit ribosomal RNA", at positions 30 to 507 of the family's 1533-position model. The record is from RNAcentral.
AUUGAACGCUGGCGGCAUGCCUUACACAUGCAAGUCGAACGGUAACAGGUCUUCGGAUGCUGACGAGUGGCGGACGGGUGCGUAAUACAUCGGAACGUGCCCGAUCGUGGGGGAUAACGAAGCGCAAGCUUUGCUAAUACCGCAUAAGAUCUACGGAUGAAAGCAGGGGACCGCAAGGCCUUGCGCGAACGGAGCGGCCGCUGGCAGAUUAGGUAGUUGGUGGGAUAAAAGCUUACCAAGCCGACGAUCUGUAGCUGAUCUGAGAGGACGACCAGCCACACUGGGACUGAGACACGGUCCAGACUCCUACGGGAGGCAGCAGUGGGGAAUUUUGGACAAUGGGCGAAAGCCUGAUCCAGCCAUGCCGCGUGCAGGAUGAAGGCCUUCGGGUUGUAAACUGCUUUUGUACGGAACGAAAAGACUCUGGUUAAUACCUGGGGUCCAUGACGGUACCGUAAGAAUAAGCACCGGCUAACUACGUG